UGCCGGGUCGUCUAACGGUAGGACACGGGACUUUGGAUCCCGGUAUCCAGGUUCGAAUCCUGGCCCGGCAGCCA
The sequence is a transfer RNA, 74 nucleotides long. It matches the Rfam family "tRNA". From Rfam's summary of the family: Transfer RNA (tRNA) molecules are approximately 80 nucleotides in length. Their secondary structure includes four short double-helical elements and three loops (D, anti-codon, and T loops).